This 559-nucleotide long non-coding RNA is filed under the name Monodelphis domestica (gray short-tailed opossum). RNAcentral describes it as "lncRNA (ENSMODG00000051092.1)". Lineage: Eukaryota; Metazoa; Chordata; Mammalia; Didelphimorphia; Didelphidae. The record is from RNAcentral.
AGAACAGGUAUUUAAGAGCCUACUAUGUGUCAGAUGUGCUACAUUAUACAAUCAUUUUCUCAUUUUAUCCUGACAACAAUCAUGUGAAGCAUCCUGCCCCUGUGGAGACUCACUUGGAAAACGAAGUUGAAUGUCACAGGCACCAGAGACCCAAACACAGAGGCCCAUGUGAGAAUGAAGACAGUGAAUGAAGAAUGAAAGAAUGAAGAAUGAGGAAAGAAAGAAGAUGAAGACAGUGAUCUUCUUUAUCAUCCUCUUUAUACUGUACUUUGGGGGCUCCCUUCUCAUCAUCAAGAGCUACUCUUCAUCUGUUAUUAGCUGCGGAAAAGACAAAGAGAUGAAGUGAAGCAGAAGGUACUUCUGUCUGGAAAACAAGGCUUGAUGCAGAGAAUGUUGGGUGGCAAUGGAAGAGGAGUCUCAGGGGAAUACGUGGACAUGAGCCCAGGAUCCCAGGUUUCAAGUCUGCAGGAGGAACCUUAGAAGCCAAGCCUUUCUCCCUUGUGCUCCAGAGGAGGAAGCUGAGCUCCUGAGCUAUCACGGGGCAGCAACAACUAUAGUA